CGGACGGGUGAGUAACACGUGGAUAACCUACCUAUAAGACUGGGAUAACUUCGGGAAACCGGUGCUAAUACCGGAUAAUAUAUUGAACCGCAUGGUUCAAUAGUGAAAGACGGUUUUUGCUGUCACUUAUAGAUGGAUCCGCGCCGCAUUAGCUAGUUGGUAAGGUAACGGCUUACCAAGGCAACGAUGCGUAGCCGACCUGAGAGGGUGAUCGGCCACACUGGAACUGAGACACGGUCCAGACUCCUACGGGAGGCAGCAGAC
This 264-nucleotide ribosomal RNA is filed under the name uncultured Staphylococcus sp. Its description in RNAcentral is "partial 16S ribosomal RNA". It matches the Rfam family "Bacterial small subunit ribosomal RNA", at positions 99 to 354 of the family's 1533-position model. Lineage: Bacteria; Bacillati; Bacillota; Bacilli; Caryophanales; Staphylococcaceae. The record is from RNAcentral.